RNAcentral lists this ribosomal RNA (324 nucleotides) under uncultured bacterium. RNAcentral's name for it is "bacterial SSU rRNA". It matches the Rfam family "Bacterial small subunit ribosomal RNA", at positions 195 to 507 of the family's 1533-position model. The record is from RNAcentral.
CCGGUUGGAAAGGUGCAACUGCACCGCAGAUGGAGGAGCCCGCGGCGCAUUAGCUAGUUGGUGGGGUAACGGCUCACCAAGGCAACGAUGCGUAGCCGACCUGAGAGGGUGACCGGCCACACUGGGACUGAGACACGGCCCAGACUCCUACGGGAGGCAGCAGUAGGGAAUCUUCCACAAUGGGCGCAAGCCUGAUGGAGCAACGCCGCGUGAGUGAAGACGGCCUUCGGGUUGUAAAGCUCAGUCACUCGGGAAGAGCGGACGAGGGAGUGGAAAGCCCUCGUCGAGACGGUACCGAGAGAGGAAGCCCCGGCUAACUACGUG